This 488-nucleotide long non-coding RNA is filed under the name Heterocephalus glaber (naked mole-rat). RNAcentral's name for it is "lncRNA (ENSHGLG00000035073.1)". The record is from RNAcentral. Lineage: Eukaryota; Metazoa; Chordata; Mammalia; Rodentia; Bathyergidae.
CAAGUGAGCGGUGCAUUCCCGCGGCACACAGGAGGCCCCCGGAGGAACCGGAAUUGCCCAUGCCUGGAUCUCCAGCUUCCAGCCUCCAGAAGUGUGGGAAGACAGAUUUCUGUUGUUCAAGCCACCCGGCUUCUGCUUUGAAGCACAGGUCACACACGAGGUAGGUUUGGGAAUGCUGCUUGUGUGUGAGCGCCACGCAGCGCUGCAAGUCGUCCUGGCCCCGAGGCCCCUCCGCCUGACCUGGUCAUCCUGAAAUCAGGGCCCCUCUGGGGCAGGGAGUCCAAGAUCUGAUUGAGCUGCUGCCGGCGGCCUCCUUCCUUCUCGGUGCUGACUCAGCAGCCCGGCCGGGCCUGCCCACCGCACUGGCCUUUUCUGGCGCUCGUUGCCCGCGCUCAGCGACGCAGGGCCCCUGAGGCCGCUGGAAGUCCCCACAGCCGCCCUCCUCCAGGGCUUCCCGGCAGCCCUCUCUGCUGCCGCUGUCCUUCCCC